RNAcentral lists this ribosomal RNA (464 nucleotides) under uncultured bacterium. Its description in RNAcentral is "partial 16S ribosomal RNA". It matches the Rfam family "Bacterial small subunit ribosomal RNA", at positions 28 to 507 of the family's 1533-position model. The record is from RNAcentral.
GACGAACGCUGGCGGCGUGCUUAACACAUGCAAGUCGAACGAUGAAGCCAGCUUGCUGGUGGAUUAGUGGCGAACGGGUGAGUAACACGUGGGUGAUCUGCACCAAACUUUGGGAUAAGCCUGGGAAACUGGGUCUAAUACCGAAUAUGACCGAUACUCGCAUGGGUGUUGGUGGAAAGCUCGGGCGGUUUUGGAUGGGCCCGCGGCCUAUCAGCUUGUUGGAGGGGUAAUGGCCUACCAAGGCGACGAAGGGUAGCCGGCCUGAGAGGGCGACCGGCCACACUGGGACUGAGACACGGCCCAGACUCCUACGUGAGGCAGCAGUGGGGAAUAUUGCACAAUGGGCGCAAGCCUGAUGCAGCGACGCCGCGUGAGGGAUGCCGUCCUUCGGGUUGUAAACCUCUUUCUCCAGGGACGAAGCGAAAGUGACGGUACCUGGAGAAGAAGCACCGGCCAACUACGUG